This 227-nucleotide ribosomal RNA is filed under the name Lacticaseibacillus rhamnosus. RNAcentral's name for it is "partial 23S ribosomal RNA". It matches the Rfam family "Bacterial large subunit ribosomal RNA", at positions 2617 to 2841 of the family's 2925-position model. Lineage: Bacteria; Bacillati; Bacillota; Bacilli; Lactobacillales; Lactobacillaceae. The record is from RNAcentral.
CGUCGUGAGACAGUUCGGUCCCUAUCCGUCGCGGGCGCAGGAAAUUUGAGAGGAGCUGUCCUUAGUACGAGAGGACCGGGAUGGACGUUCCGCUGGUGUACCAGUUGUGCCGCUAGGCGCAUCGCUGGGUAGCUAUGAACGGAAGGGAUAAACGCUGAAAGCAUCUAAGUGUGAAGCCCCCCUCGAGAUGAGAUUUCCCAUUCCUAUAUGGAAGUAAGACCCCUGAA